Molecule: ribosomal RNA, 236 nt
Filed under: uncultured bacterium
Lineage: Bacteria
Description: partial 16S ribosomal RNA
Rfam family: Bacterial small subunit ribosomal RNA
Source: RNAcentral
CGGGACGGGUGAGUAACGCGUGGGUAACCUGCCUCAUACAGGGGGAUAACAGUUGGAAACGACUGCUAAUACCGCAUAAGCGCACGGGAUUGUAUGAUCCAGUGUGAAAAACUCCGGUGGUAUGAGAUGGACCCGCGUCUGAUUAGCCAGUUGGCGGGGUAGCGGCCCACCAAAGCGACGAUCAGUAGCCGACCUGAGAGGGUGACCGGCCACAUUGGGACUGAGACACGGCCCAA